GGACUAUACCAUUUGAAAUGGGGCCAGGAAAACAAAUCAAAUUACUUUUUUAAUAUUUUGGAAGCUAUUUUCCAACAGCUUGAGUAAUAACAAAUUCAAUCUUUCUCUAUUUAUAAAUUCAAAUUCUUGUACCAGGCAGGAGAACUGGCUGGCUGACUCUCCCUUGGACAACAGUUUAUCCCCAGACACCCUAGCUUGGAGCAUGGCUCUGGCAAUCUAUUAAGGAAUGUUCCUUUUUGAGGGGAGAGAAGGGGCAAAGAAGCAGUUCCAUGUCUCUAACGUUCUGUCCUUCGUAUCUAUCACAAUUUUAAAUAUGCUCAACCUUUGACCCAGCAAUUCUACUUCUAGGAAGACAGCCUGAAGAAAUUCGAGUACAAGUAUUCCAGAUGUUGCUUUUAUCGUACAGAAGCUGUUUUUUUCCAGAAUGCUCCAACACAUUCCUACUCUUUCGCCCUCUAGAUAAAUGUCUUUCAGUGGACUUUAGAGUUAACAAUAGUGAGCAUUUCUCAAGCUACAGCCAAAGAAACUCCCUUAGAUUCUUCAUGGCAAGAAAGGAAAGAGGAAGGGAGAAAAGCUCUGAAAGGCUGACCAGGUACCCCAAAGAGACUGCGUUUAUCUACAAGACUGUUUGAACUGAAAGAAAUGGUCUCUAAGCCAACCAGAAAAAAGAAAAUAGCUCAAAAAGGAGGUAAAAAUCAAAGAAAGAAAAAUAUUAAUAAAAUAAGACUCCAGGAUAAUGAGUAAUUGGUGAGACCAGAAGGUGACAAAUUGAUCCGGUAACUGAUUUGCCUGGAUAGCUUUCAACUAAAUGCUCUCAAAAGGAAGAUAUUCUGAAUGAAACAGAAGACCCCGAAACCUUUCCUUUCCACCACCAACCCCCAGAAGCAGAAAGUCAUGAAGGCUCAGUCAGUUGCCCAUAAACUGUGUUCCUGGGUCUUGGCUACAUUGCCAUCAUUUCAGAUGAGCCCCAUCAAUACCAGAUGGACCCCCCGGAUACACGCUCAUUAGUCAUAUGCUUUAAGAUGAGCCCAGUUCUCACACCCACCCGAUGGUGGCAACGGAAAUGAUUACUCUGGGCACCCUGACUGCGUGACUGUGAAAGCAACUGUUUGGUGUUAACUGAUUUGCAUAAUGGUGGAGAACUCCCAGUUUGGGGGAAGUCUUUUCCUAUUUCUGCAGUUCCACAUGCCGUGCUAGUUUCUAAGGGAGCAGGAGCCAGAUACUGAAGCCAUGUCACCCCCUUGUUUGAGGGAGCAGUGCCUCUCAUCACCCUAUACCGCCUCAGUCUAGUCACAUGAGCCCUUAAAAGCAGAGGGAGCAGUUGCCCUGGAAGUUUCCAUGCUAUGGGCAAUGUAUUCAGACCCCAGGACAAGAUCUGAGUGCACGCUCAACCCUAAAAGGGGGAUGAGAAUAAUUUGAUUGAAAAAUGUCCCCAUAGCCUCAUCUUGAAAGAACGAAGUCUUUUUUCCUUCCUUUUACCCAGCAGGCGAGUAGUGUUUUUUAUCUUCCAGGCAUAACUCUUGGAAAGAAUGGAGCUACUUGUUUCAAAAGCCUGUGCUAAUGGGAAUAAACAGUUAAAAUAAAGUUUUUCCCAACUUCAGGGUAAGAAUGACUUUGUGUAGAUAUGGAGGACUGAAAGGAAAGUGGGUUCUACCAGUGGCAGAGAUCAGUACCCCACCCAAUGCUCCAGGAGAUACUAGGACUUUUUCAUAAAGCUGGGAUGUGGAUUCCCCACGACUGAACCUGGAAAAACAAGCCUAGCGGCCCAUGGCCAAAUUUCAUAGGACAGAACUAGGGCUGAAACAAAGAGACUUUCGAGCAGAAUAACUGUCUGACUUCAAAUGAAACACCAUUUGGACAAUAAGCAGUUCAUGAGCAACAAUUACAAUAUGAGCCGAGAAUGCCCCCCCAACUUCCUGAACACUGUAGAAAACCUUCCAUUUUUAUAUAAUCCCAGAGAAUAGAAGGGGACCACCAAGCAUACCAAAAAUUUCAUUUCUUAUCAGAUAGGCAAACAAAGACUCAGAGUCAAGUAUGAUUUAACAGAGAAAAGUAAAAUAAAUAUUACAUUUCUUGCACACAAAUAUGGUGGAACAAAUUCAUGCCUCUUUAGAAAAUGAUCAGGAUAAAUCCUAUCAUGAUUCAAAUCCC
RNAcentral lists this long non-coding RNA (2151 nucleotides) under Equus caballus (horse). RNAcentral's name for it is "lncRNA (ENSECAG00000049188.1)". Lineage: Eukaryota; Metazoa; Chordata; Mammalia; Perissodactyla; Equidae. The record is from RNAcentral.